Molecule: ribosomal RNA, 253 nt
Filed under: uncultured bacterium
Lineage: Bacteria
Description: partial 16S ribosomal RNA
Rfam family: Bacterial small subunit ribosomal RNA
Source: RNAcentral
UACAGAGGUCUCAAGCGUUGUUCGGAUUCAUUGGGCGUAAAGGGUGCGUAGGCGGCGGGGCAAGUCUGAUGUGAAAUCCCGGGGCUCAACCUCGGAACUGCAUUGGAUACUGCCUUGCUUGAGUACUGGAGAGGAGACCGGAAUUUACGGUGUAGCAGUGAAAUGCGUAGAUAUCGUAAGGAAGACCAGUGGCGAAGGCGAGUCUCUGGACAGUUACUGACGCUGAGGCACGAAGGCCAGGGGAGCAAACGGG